This 89-nucleotide transfer RNA is filed under the name Cenarchaeum symbiont of Oopsacas minuta. RNAcentral describes it as "tRNA-iMet". The stretch from base 27 to 81 matches the Rfam family "tRNA", at positions 10 to 63 of the family's 71-position model. Rfam says of the family: Transfer RNA (tRNA) molecules are approximately 80 nucleotides in length. Their secondary structure includes four short double-helical elements and three loops (D, anti-codon, and T loops). The record is from RNAcentral. Lineage: Archaea; Thermoproteati; Nitrososphaerota; Candidatus Cenarchaeales; Candidatus Cenarchaeaceae.
AGCGGGGUGGGGAAGUCAGACUAUCUGGGCAAAGUCAUCCCGGCGGGCUCAUAACCCGCAAAUCAGUAGUUCAAAUCUACUCCCCGCUA